Non-coding RNA from Gossypium raimondii (Peruvian cotton), 125 nucleotides. The record is from Rfam. Lineage: Eukaryota; Viridiplantae; Streptophyta; Magnoliopsida; Malvales; Malvaceae.
AAUAGGAGAAUGACAAAUCAGAAUUUUUGUCCUGAUUUUCAGCUUUUUCCUCUUGAAAAAAAAUUCAAAUUCAAGUAAAAAUGCUAAAAAUCAAGAGGAAAAAUCUGAUUUGUCAUUCUCCUAUU